Long non-coding RNA from Marmota monax (woodchuck), 994 nucleotides. RefSeq lists it as uncharacterized. The transcript has 3 exons. The record is from RefSeq and is a predicted model, not a curated record. Lineage: Eukaryota; Metazoa; Chordata; Mammalia; Rodentia; Sciuridae.
CUUGACCACAACUCAGCUGAGUAGAAGAUAGUCAAUAAGAAAAGACAGUCAUGAAAAAAUUAGCUCCAGAUCUAAGAGAAGUCUGAUUAAGUGGAUUUCUUCACAAUACCACCCAAACGAUUGGUCCUCUAUCAUUUGUCAGGAACAGAGCCAGUAGAAUUCUGGAGAAAUUGAUUAUACCAAGUCCAAGGUAAGUGCCAAAGAUAAGUAGUUCCCUCAGCAAGAAGAAGGCGACCUCCCAUGAGCAGGGUUUUCAAGAGGGAAGGAAAGAAAGCAAGACACCUCUGAGCAUCCCAGGGAGGUAGGAAGAACACACCUGGGAAGAACAUAGUCUUGAAUGGGAAUACUGGAUAGAACUGAAAUGACUCAUGCAACUUUAUAUGGAGAUACCUGAUUUUGGUUAAUUACUAUCCUUCAAGAAAUGGUGGCUUCCCCCUCUUUGUUCUUUACUCAUAAUUCAUUAUUAGAUCUGUACUUGUGCAAGCAAAUAGUAGUAAAAUAGCAAAGAUUUUACCCCUGACUAAGCUCUGAGGAUUUGGGAGAAGCUCACAUAAUAGGCUUUGGAAUGCAGAGCAAGAGGUUUGGGGAUGUAGCUUAGUAGUAGAGUGCUUGUCUAGCAUGCAGAAGACCUACUCUAUCCCCAUACAGAGUAGAAGAACAGAAACACUCCCACCUUUCUCAAGGUUCACGAGGAUGAAUGUCACGUGUGGCUCAGUUAAAAUUGACUUAGUGAAAAGAACAAAAACUUUAGGCCCAGAAGCCAAUAAUCUGUAAUACUGCUGAUGAAUUCUGCAACUGACGAAUGCACAGAAGCCCAAGUCAAGGGAACUUUUAGGUCAGCUUCACCCAUUCAGAGAUUGUCACAAAACCUCAGUAAUUCAGAUCUUACUAUUUGCUCAUUGGUAGGCACUCAGACAAGGGCAUCCUGUUCUUCCCCAAAUUGAUCUAAGUGAAGUGUUUUUGUGCAAUGUUAAUAAAAAUGCAAAUUGGCUAA